GUUUGAUCCUGGCUCAGGAUGAACGCUGGCGGCGUGCUUAACACAUGCAAGUCGAACGAUCCUUCGGGAUAGUGGCGGACGGGUGAGUAACGCGUGGGAAUCUGCCCUCAGGAGGGGGAUAACGGCUGGAAACGGCCGCUAAUACCCCAUAUGCCGAGAGGUGAAAUGAAUUUCGCCUGAGGAUGAGCCCGCGUCUGAUUAGCUAGUUGGUGGGGUAAAGGCCUACCAAGGCAACGAUCAGUAGCUGGUCUGAGAGGAUGAUCAGCCACACUGGGACUGAGACACGGCCCAGACUCCUACGGGAGGCAGCAGUGGGGAAUUUUCCGCAAUGGGCGAAAGCCUGACGGAGCAACGCCGCGUGAGGGAUGAAGGCCUCUGGGCUGUAAACCUCUUUUCUCAAGGAAGAAGACCUGACGGUACUUGAGGAAUAAGCCACGGCUAAUUCCGUGCCAGCAGCCGCGGUAAUACGGGAGUGGCAAGCGUUAUCCGGAAUUAUUGGGCGUAAAGCGUCCGCAGGCGGCCUUGUAAGUCUGUUGUUAAAGCGUGGAGCUCAACUCCAUUUAAGCAAUGGAAACUACAAGGCUGGAGUGUGGUAGGGGCAGAGGGAAUUCCCGGUGUAGCGGUGAAAUGCGUAGAUAUCGGGAAGAACACCAGUGGCGAAGGCGCUCUGCUGGGCCAUAACUGACGCUCAUGGACGAAAGCCAGGGGAGCGAAAGGGAUUAGAUACCCCUGUAGUCCUGGCCGUAAACGAUGAACACUAGGUGUCGGGGGAAUCGACCCCCUCGGUGUCGUAGCCAACGCGUUAAGUGUUCCGCCUGGGGAGUACGCACGCAAGUGUGAAACUCAAAGGAAUUGACGGGGGCCCGCACAAGCGGUGGAGUAUGUGGUUUAAUUCGAUGCAACGCGAAGAACCUUACCAGGGUUUGACAUCCUGCGAACCCCUGAGAAAUCGGGGGGUGCCUUCGGGAGCGCAGAGACAGGUGGUGCAUGGCUGUCGUCAGCUCGUGUCGUGAGAUGUUGGGUUAAGUCCCGCAACGAGCGCAACCCACGUCUUUAGUUGCCAGCAUUCAGUUGGGCACUCUAGAGAGACCGCCGGUGAUAAACCGGAGGAAGGUGUGGAUGACGUCAAGUCAUCAUGCCCCUUACAUCCUGGGCUACACACGUACUACAAUGCUACGGACAAAGGGCAGCAAGCUCGCGAGAGUUAGCAAAUCCCAUAAACCGUGGCUCAGUUCAGAUCGUAGGCUGCAACUCGCCUACGUGAAGGAGGAAUCGCUAGUAAUCGCAGGUCAGCAUACUGCGGUGAAUACGUUCCCGGGCCUUGUACACACCGCCCGUCACACCAUGGAAGUUGGCCAUGCCCGAAGUCGUUACUCCAACCCUUGUGGAGGAGGACGCCGAAGGUGGGGCUGAUGACUGGGGUGAAGUCGUAACAAGGUA
Molecule: ribosomal RNA, 1440 nt
Filed under: metagenome
Description: bacterial SSU rRNA
Rfam family: Bacterial small subunit ribosomal RNA
Source: RNAcentral